Molecule: long non-coding RNA, 427 nt
Filed under: Bos taurus (domestic cattle)
Lineage: Eukaryota; Metazoa; Chordata; Mammalia; Artiodactyla; Bovidae
Description: long non-coding RNA NONBTAT025119
Source: RNAcentral
GCAAGUGCGGCUUCCAGAAAAUCAGCCUGGAUCUUUUAGACAUAAAUGACAGUACCCACAGUACCCAAGACUAAAGGCAAAAGAAAACACUGUUCUAGUUUCAUGUGAAGUUUAAGAUGCAAAAGACCAAUCAGAUCAACUAGUUUAUCCUCUAUCAAUGCCAGAUAAUUCCCUCUGUAGAUCUAGUUACUUGGUUAAGUCUAGUUAGAAAUGUUCCAGCUCAGGAAAUGUUCAAACGUUUCUCAGAAGACUGUUCAUUCUAACAGCACAGAUUGUUAAUAAAUUUUUCUAGGUUUGCCCUUAAAUUUUCUUUACAAUUUUCUUUCAUUUUCAUAAUCCUAUUUAUGUAGCAAGCCACAUCAAAUGGUAUUUCAUUUCUCAUUAUCUACACUCAUAAAAGCCUCAAAAUAAACUAAGCUUUUGUUUA